UAAGAAUGCAGCUUCUAAUUCCCUCUUCCUUGUGUUUACAUGAACUUUCCUUUGCAUUUCAGAAGCCUUAUGGAAAGAUUCCUGUGGCUGACCCAGGAGUAGUGGUGAAUUUCUCCAUCAAAGUCGACGAGACACUUCUGUUUCUGGUGACAUCCUGUGGCCUUGGCUGCCUCGGUUGGUGUGUAUACGAACAUGAAAAGAGUUCAAGUUCUAAAAAUGGAAGUUUCUGUUCUGACUUUCACAUGGUUCACAGACAAGUUGAAACAGACCAAGAAAAAACUGCAAAGAGGAUCAGAUGUGAACAUUCCAGGGCCCGCUUCCCUGUCCUGGGGUUCUUACUCUCCGUUCCCUUUUUAUUCUCACUCCCUCCUGUACCUUCAAUUGCCGGCUAACAAGCUCCAUUUCUGAUAACAGAUGCCUGACAAAGAAAGAGAAAUAAGACAUUAAAAAAAGAGGGAGGCUGGUGCGGGGGUGGGGACUGCUGAGUUCACUGCCAACAGCGCUUUACGGGAACGUGCUCGCCUUGGCUCUGCACCAACGCAAGGGAAAGAACAGGGCGGGGGCGAGGCGCCUUUGUCUUCAAACUCCUGAUGAAAUAUAGGGUUAAUAUUAGCGAUUAUUAUUAAAAUUAGCCAAA
Molecule: long non-coding RNA, 637 nt
Filed under: Chinchilla lanigera (long-tailed chinchilla)
Lineage: Eukaryota; Metazoa; Chordata; Mammalia; Rodentia; Chinchillidae
Description: lncRNA (ENSCLAG00000027602.1)
Source: RNAcentral